This 256-nucleotide long non-coding RNA is filed under the name Panax ginseng (ginseng). RNAcentral's name for it is "long non-coding RNA (PGIN_LNC016202)". The record is from RNAcentral. Lineage: Eukaryota; Viridiplantae; Streptophyta; Magnoliopsida; Apiales; Araliaceae.
ACAAAUUCACAAGGAGGUUACUUGCUGAUCCUCAGUUCUUCCUGUUCAACACCCAGAUUUCCAUCAUACUACAAAUUUGUUUUCUUCCAUCUUGGUGUAAACCAAUUGGCAACUCAUCCUUUGUAUGAGAAACUCACAUUCUUCAUUGUCUUUAGUAGUUUUUCAGCUUUUAUUGGAGGAUUGCUUCUAAGUGAAAAGGAGUUAGUACAGUAAAUACCCUGCGAUUGAAGCUUGACAGUUUAAAUCCUCUAAAUAG